UCCGGUAUAGUGUAACGGUCAACAUAUCGCGCUUUCAUGAGCUGUCCUACAUCCGCGAAGCUCCGGGUUCGAUUCCCGGUAUCGGAA
Molecule: transfer RNA, 87 nt
Rfam family: tRNA
About the family: Transfer RNA (tRNA) molecules are approximately 80 nucleotides in length. Their secondary structure includes four short double-helical elements and three loops (D, anti-codon, and T loops).